Molecule: long non-coding RNA, 218 nt
Organism: Hyla sarda
Lineage: Eukaryota; Metazoa; Chordata; Amphibia; Anura; Hylidae
Exons: 2
Source: RefSeq, a predicted model, not a curated record
GUAAAUGGCGCCCCCCUCUCUUUAUAACGCGCUCCCGGUAAUGACAGGACACAGCAGUGAGGAGGCGGCGUAUCCCCAUAGGAGCCACGGCUGUAAGGAGAGGUUGUGACUGCAAAACACACUGAAGAGACUGCAGCCGGCGCGCACCUCCUUGUACAGCUUACGGUGACAUCAUCACAAGCAUGUGUGACAUCACAGGGUUCUAAACCAUCUUCAGA